UUUGAACCCAGGAGGCAGAGGUUGCAGUAAGCCAAGAUCGCAUCACUGCACUCUAGCCUGGGUGACAGAGCUAGACUCCAUCUCAAAAAAGAAAGAAGAAAGAGAAAUAUGUUAGAAUAAUGUAUAGAUGGACAUGCAAGUUGGUUUUUCCCCCAAAGUAAGAAAAGAGAAGCCUAGUAUACAUAUUAACCCCACUCAUUCAAACUCCUCAAGAUUUGUCUAGCUCUGCAGCUGCCAUUUAUGGCAUGCUCCAACCACAUGCAGGCAUUGCAAUUCAGGGUAUCUUUAAUU
Molecule: long non-coding RNA, 291 nt
Organism: Sapajus apella (tufted capuchin)
Lineage: Eukaryota; Metazoa; Chordata; Mammalia; Primates; Cebidae
Exons: 3
Source: RefSeq, a predicted model, not a curated record